RNAcentral lists this ribosomal RNA (176 nucleotides) under Bacillus sp. cl115. RNAcentral describes it as "23S rRNA. Bacterial LSU". It matches the Rfam family "Bacterial large subunit ribosomal RNA", at positions 2749 to 2925 of the family's 2925-position model. RNAcentral also lists the same sequence under 1 other name. Lineage: Bacteria; Bacillati; Bacillota; Bacilli; Caryophanales; Bacillaceae. The record is from RNAcentral.
CUAUGUGCGGAAGGGAUAAGUGCUGAAAGCAUCUAAGCAUGAAGCCCCCCUCAAGAUGAGAUUUCCCAUAGCGUAAGCUAGUAAGAUCCCUGAAAGAUGAUCAGGUUGAUAGGUUCGAGGUGGAAGCAUGGUGACAUGUGGAGCUGACGAAUACUAAUAGAUCGAGGACUUAACCA